GGAGCUGUGGCUCAGUGGGAAGAGCAUCUGCUUGCCAUGCAGAAGGUCCCAGGUUCAAUCCCCGGCACCUCCG
This is a non-coding RNA of Gekko japonicus, 73 nucleotides long. Lineage: Eukaryota; Metazoa; Chordata; Lepidosauria; Squamata; Gekkonidae. The record is from the annotation of a RefSeq genome assembly.